UGAGCUUGAUCAUGGCUCAGAUUGAACGCUGGCGGCAGGCCUAACACAUGCAAGUCGAGCGGUAGAGAGAAGCUUGCUUCUCUUGAGAGCGGCGGACGGGUGAGUAAUGCCUAGGAAUCUGCCUGGUAGUGGGGGAUAACGUUCGGAAACGGACGCUAAUACCGCAUACGUCCUACGGGAGAAAGCAGGGGACCUUCGGGCCUUGCGCUAUCAGAUGAGCCUAGGUCGGAUUAGCUAGUUGGUGAGGUAAUGGCUCACCAAGGCGACGAUCCGUAACUGGUCUGAGAGGAUGAUCAGUCACACUGGAACUGAGACACGGUCCAGACUCCUACGGGAGGCAGCAGUGGGGAAUAUUGGACAAUGGGCGAAAGCCUGAUCCAGCCAUGCCGCGUGUGUGAAGAAGGUCUUCGGAUUGUAAAGCACUUUAAGUUGGGAGGAAGGGCAGUUACCUAAUACGUGAUUGUUUUGACGUACCGACAG
This 480-nucleotide ribosomal RNA is filed under the name Pseudomonas sp. 01WB04.1-17. Its description in RNAcentral is "bacterial SSU rRNA". It matches the Rfam family "Bacterial small subunit ribosomal RNA", at positions 1 to 484 of the family's 1533-position model. Lineage: Bacteria; Pseudomonadati; Pseudomonadota; Gammaproteobacteria; Pseudomonadales; Pseudomonadaceae. The record is from RNAcentral.